Molecule: long non-coding RNA, 593 nt
Organism: Ostrinia nubilalis (European corn borer)
Lineage: Eukaryota; Metazoa; Arthropoda; Insecta; Lepidoptera; Crambidae
Exons: 2
Source: RefSeq, a predicted model, not a curated record
UUAGCUCCUUCAAAGCGACUGCUAGAUUUCCAGGAGCAUCUGACUGGUAUAUGUGAGCACCCGCGUAGGGCUGUCCACCGGGUCAAUAGUCGGCGCCCUGGGCGACGCGUGGGCGCACCGCUGCAACACUCGAGUGCUGCUCUCAAGGGAAGGCGGUGAAAGGCGCGCGCUUUGUUUGAAGAGCAACUGUGGGGCUAACGCUGUGGGGAGGUUCAAGAUAACAGAAGAAGGAAUUCGGGAUGUAGACUAAGUAAAAUCAAUAAAACAACCAUUGAACAUACAUACUUCAAGUAAUGUUUAUUGUAAAUAUGUAUUGUAUAUCGUAAACAAAACUAGAGCACCAAUAAAUAUCUCAUUUCAUAAAAAUAUCAAGCUUUUAUUUCAAUAACAAUUAAUACAUUGUAAAGGCAGUUUCAAUAUCGGAACUAGAACAUUGCAAGGCAGACAUUCAACAACUGUAGCACUAUUAUGCUUCUACGACACUAGAGUAAGUAAAACUCGUUUGUAGUCUCCCUUCGUAUCAUCCUGCAAAAUAUGACACCGUUGUACUUUGAAACUUCUCGGGGCCGAAUCAUGUUAUUUAACUGCAUGCA